This 421-nucleotide ribosomal RNA is filed under the name uncultured bacterium. RNAcentral's name for it is "bacterial SSU rRNA". It matches the Rfam family "Bacterial small subunit ribosomal RNA", at positions 361 to 773 of the family's 1533-position model. The record is from RNAcentral.
AUUGUUCGCAAUGGGCGCAAGCCUGACGACGCAACGCCGCGUGGAGGAUGAAGAUCUUCGGGUCGUAAACUCCUGUCGAGCGGGACGAAUGCUCUGUGGUUCAACACACCGCAGAAGUGACGGUACCGCUAAAGGAAGCUCCGGCUAACUCCGUGCGAGCAGCCGCGGUAAUACGAAGGGUGCAAGCGUUACUCGGAAUUACUGGGCGUAAAGCGUGCGUAGGUGGUUCGUUAAGUCUGUCGUGAAAGCCCCGGGCUCAACCUGGGAAUGGCGAUGGAUACUGGCGGGCUAGAGUGCGGUAGAGGAGAGUGGAAUUCCCGGUGUAGCAGUGAAAUGCGUAGAGAUCGGGAGGAACAUCAGUUGCGAAGGCGGCUCUCUGGACCAGCACUGACACUGAGGCACGAAAGCGUGGGGAGCAAAC